Molecule: long non-coding RNA, 754 nt
Filed under: Rattus norvegicus (Norway rat)
Lineage: Eukaryota; Metazoa; Chordata; Mammalia; Rodentia; Muridae
Description: long non-coding RNA NONRATT027760
Source: RNAcentral
GGAAUCACUCCUGCUUUAACAAAGAAACUGAAAGGCUACCACGAUUUGAAAUCAAGUGACUUUGCUGAGAUAAAAAAAACACGAACAAAAUCAAUUUGGGGGAAAAAAAUGGGUUAUUUCACUUACACUUCUACAGCAGUUCACCAUGGAAAGCAUUUAGGGCAGAAAGUCAAAUUGGGCAGGAACCUGGAGGCAAGAAGCCAUAGAGGAAUACUGCUUACUGGCUAUCUCCUCAAGGCAAGUUCAACCCAGAAUCAAAGGCCCAGUAGUGACUCCACCCACAAUGGGCUGGGCCUCCCAUAUCAAUCACGCCCUCCCUACAGGCUUGCCUGCAGCCUUGUACAGAGGCCUGUUGUCAACUGGUGCUUCCUCCUCUCUGAUGUCUACAUCUUGUAUCAAGUUGAAAUAAAACUAGCAAGUACAAUUACUAAAAAUAUUGCUUACACAUAUAGAGCACUGUAGGUUAAAAAAAAUCUUUAUUCUAUAAUUUAAUAUCAAUAAUAAAAACAUUUUCCUUUCAAGUCUUUUCCCCCUUUGAUAUAAAACCGCAAACAAAUACAAGUAAUUAAAUCACAUCACAAUUCUCAUUCACCAUUUCUAUGAAUUUCUCUAUCAUUUUGUAAAUAUGCAACUACCUCUCCUUUCCCUAUCUCCUUCUUUCCCUUCCUUUCUUGAAGCAAGAUCCUACAAAACAUCCCAAAGACCUCAAAAACUCCUGCUCAUUCUCUCAAAAUACAGACACAAAAAAAUAAAA